GAAAGCGUAGCUUUGGACAGCUUGAUAGAGCAUCUGACUACGAAUCAGAAGGUUACAGGUUUGAAUCCUGUCGAGGUCACAA
Molecule: transfer RNA, 82 nt
Filed under: Indolivaga capnocytophagoides
Lineage: Bacteria; Pseudomonadati; Bacteroidota; Bacteroidia; Bacteroidales; Dysgonomonadaceae
Description: Dysgonomonas capnocytophagoides tRNA-Arg
Rfam family: tRNA
About the family: Transfer RNA (tRNA) molecules are approximately 80 nucleotides in length. Their secondary structure includes four short double-helical elements and three loops (D, anti-codon, and T loops).
Source: RNAcentral